This is a transfer RNA of Firmicutes bacterium CAG:95, 73 nucleotides long. It matches the Rfam family "tRNA". Rfam says of the family: Transfer RNA (tRNA) molecules are approximately 80 nucleotides in length. The record is from Rfam. NCBI's taxonomy places the organism in Bacteria, Bacillati, Bacillota.
GCUACCGUGGCUCAGCCGGUAGAGCAGCUGAUUCGUAAUCAGCAGGUCAGGGGUUCGAAUCCCCUCGGUAGCU